GAACAGGGGUGACACCACCAGGUUUAUUGGGAUGGAGCUGGGGGACCCCAAAACCGCAGGGACAGUCGGACGGAGCGUCAGUCGGACAGAGGGACAGACAGGACAGUGUCACUGCACUGUGGCCAUGGGCUCAUGAUGGUCACUGCGGUCAGGAACUGUCCCCAGGGUGGUCACUGUGGUGGUCACUGUGGUGGUCACUGUGGUCACUGUGGUCAGGAGCUGUCCCCAUGGUGGUCACUGUGGUCACUGUGGUGGUCACUGUGGUCAGGAGCUGUCCCCAUGGUGGCUGUGAUGGUCACUGUGAUGGUCACUGUGAUGGUCACUGUGGUGGUCACUGUGAUGGUCACUGUGGUCAGGAGCUGUCCCCAUGGUGGCCAUGGUGGUCAGUGUGGUGGUCACUGUGGUCACUCAUGGCUCCAUGGCGGUGUCCCAGGGUGGUCAGUGUGGUGGCCAGGGUGGUCAGUGUGGUGGUCACCACGCUGGUCACUGCUCCAUGGCGGUGUCCCAGGGUGGUCAGUGUGGUGGCCAGGGUGGUCAGUGUGGUGGUCACUGUGGUCACUCAGUGCUCCAUGGCUGUGUGCCAGGGUGGUCACCACGAUGGUCA
This 604-nucleotide long non-coding RNA is filed under the name Parus major (Great Tit). RNAcentral describes it as "lncRNA (ENSPMJG00000001968.1)". Lineage: Eukaryota; Metazoa; Chordata; Aves; Passeriformes; Paridae. The record is from RNAcentral.